GAUGAACGCUGGCGGCGUGCCUAAUACAUGUAAGUCGAGCGAACAGACGAGGAGCUUGCUCCUUCGACGUUAGCGGCGGACGGGUGAGUAACACGUAGGUAACCUACCUAUAAGACUGGGAUAACUUCGGGAAACCGGAGCUAAUACCGGAUAAUAUUUCGAACCGCAUGGUUCGAUAGUGAAAGAUGGCUUUGCUAUCACUUAUAGAUGGACCUGCGCCGUAUUAGCUAGUUGGUAAGGUAACGGCUUACCAAGGCAACGAUACGUAGCCGACCUGAGAGGGUGAUCGGCCACACUGGAACUGAGACACGGUCCAGACUCCUACGGGAGGCAGCAGUAGGGAAUCUUCCGCAAUGGGCGAAAGCCUGACGGAGCAACGCCGCGUGAGUGGUGAAGGUCUUCGGAUCGUAAAACUCUGUUAUUAGGGAAGAACAAACGUGUAAGUAACUGUGCACGUCUUGACGGUACCUAAUCAGAAAGCCACGGCUAACUACGUG
RNAcentral lists this ribosomal RNA (497 nucleotides) under uncultured bacterium. RNAcentral's name for it is "partial 16S ribosomal RNA". It matches the Rfam family "Bacterial small subunit ribosomal RNA", at positions 28 to 507 of the family's 1533-position model. The record is from RNAcentral.